This is a long non-coding RNA of Chelonia mydas (Green sea turtle), 1043 nucleotides long. RefSeq lists it as uncharacterized. The record is from RefSeq and is a predicted model, not a curated record. The transcript is spliced from 3 exons. NCBI's taxonomy places the organism in Eukaryota, Metazoa, Chordata, Testudines, Cheloniidae.
CUGAAACCUUUUCUUCCAGUGAGAGGCAAAGCUAUUCAAUUGUUGCAGGAUAAUUUUUUCCCAGCAAGUAGACAGUUUUAAAAAUUCAGGCACACGUGGUUCUUCCCCAGCGUCUAUGAAUUCCAGACUUCCAGCGGGGUGCCAUUUGAUAAUGAAAAGGACCUGACAAGCACUUCCCAGCUGUCCCAUAGCAGAACUAGUGCCUGUUUUAUAAAGCAAAAGGCAAUUUUGUCUGAUCCUUGCUGUUAUCCCAAGAGGGAAUGGAGUGAACAAGCUUCACGAAUGAUUUCCAGCUUGGUGGAGAUUCAGGAACAGACUGGAAUUAGAGAAGGAAUUGGGGAGAGUAAAAAGAAAACCAAGAGGCCUCACACUUGCACUCAUUUUGCAUAGCUAAAAAAAAGCAACCCACUUACUUAAUUUGGACUCCAGAGUUAAGCAAUCAGCCCAUUCCAUUUGCAAUACGUUUGCUAUAAAUCAACGUUCUUGCCCAAGAGCACUCUUAUGAGCAAAACUGAGCAUUCAAACAAUGUGCAUGAUGGAGGAGGGGAGCUCGGUUUGAGGAUUAUUGCUACAUACUUACUGAGUUUCCUCGACUGUCAAGAGCAUGGGGAGUGAAGGCUGAGCUAAACCUCUGAAAAACAUUUAGGUCACCUCCCAGCAAAUGGAUGAAGGAGCUGCCAAAGAAAAGCAUAACAACCUUUCAGCUUCAAUCAUUUCAGCUGAAAUUAUAAUGCAGAGGAAUGUCGACAUGAUUGAAUUCUUUCCAUUAUGAGAUGCUCAAACCCAGGGCCAUCGGGGGGGCAAAAGGGUCAGGUUGGCCCAGGCCCCCAUUUGAGAGGGCUCCCGAACUGAGUGGUGUUGCAACCUGGGACAUGGAAUUCCAGCGUCACUCAAGUUUGACCCAGCUGCCCAUUCAUCAUGACAAAUUUUGCCCUGGCCCUCCAAGAACUUCUGCACGGCCCUGCUCAAAGCCCAGUGCAAUAGUUGCAAAAUGUAUUAUUGUAAUUAUUUAUUAUUUGUAUUGUGACAAAGUAAUUAAAAGA